RNAcentral lists this ribosomal RNA (128 nucleotides) under Acetobacterium malicum. RNAcentral describes it as "partial 23S ribosomal RNA". It matches the Rfam family "Bacterial large subunit ribosomal RNA", at positions 2798 to 2925 of the family's 2925-position model. The record is from RNAcentral. Lineage: Bacteria; Bacillati; Bacillota; Clostridia; Eubacteriales; Eubacteriaceae.
UUCAAGAUAAGAUAUCUCACCAGAAAUGGUUAAGGUCCCUGAUAGACGAUCAGGUAGAUAGGCUGGAUGUGGAAGUAUGGUAACAUAUGGAGCUGACCAGUACUAAUCGACCGAGGUCUUGAUCCAAG